GAUGAACGCUGGCGGCGUGCCUAAUACAUGCAAGUCGAGCGAACGGACGAGAAGCUUGCUUCUCUGAUGUUAGCGGCGGACGGGUGAGUAACACGUGGAUAACCUACCUAUAAGACUGGGAUAACUUCGGGAAACCGGAGCUAAUACCGGAUGAUAUUUUGAACCGCAUGGUUCAAAAGUGAAAGACGGUCUUGCUGUCACUUAUAGAUGGAUCCGCGCUGCAUUAGCUAGUUGGUAAUGUAACGGCUUACCAAGGCAACGAUGCAUAGCCGACCUGAGAGGGUGAGCGGCCACAAUGGAACUGAGACACGGUCCAGACUCCUACGGGAGGCAGCAGUAGGGAAUCUUCCGCAAUGGGCGAAAGCAUGACGGAGCAACGCCGCGUGAGUGAUGAAGGUCUUCGGAUCGUAAAACUCUGUUAUUAGGGAAGAACAUAUGUGUAAGUAACUGUGCACAUCUUGACGGUACCUAAUCAGAAAGCCACGGCUAACUACGUG
RNAcentral lists this ribosomal RNA (497 nucleotides) under uncultured bacterium. Its description in RNAcentral is "partial 16S ribosomal RNA". It matches the Rfam family "Bacterial small subunit ribosomal RNA", at positions 28 to 507 of the family's 1533-position model. The record is from RNAcentral.